RNAcentral lists this ribosomal RNA (494 nucleotides) under uncultured bacterium. Its description in RNAcentral is "bacterial SSU rRNA". It matches the Rfam family "Bacterial small subunit ribosomal RNA", at positions 903 to 1397 of the family's 1533-position model. The record is from RNAcentral.
AAAUGAAUUGACGGGGACCCGCACAAGCAGUGGAGUAUGUGGUUUAAUUCGAAGCAACGCGAAGAACCUUACCAGGUCUUGACAUCCCUCUGACCGGUGCAGAGAUGUGCCUUUCCUUCGGGACAGAGGAGACAGGUGGUGCAUGGUUGUCGUCAGCUCGUGUCGUGAGAUGUUGGGUUAAGUCCCGCAACGAGCGCAACCCUUAGCUUUAGUUGCCAGCAUGAGAGAUGGGCACUCUAGAGCGACUGCCGGUGACAAACCGGAGGAAGGUGGGGAUGACGUCAAAUCAUCAUGCCCCUUAUGACCUGGGCUACACACGUACUACAAUGGCCGGUACAGAGGGAAGCGAAGGAGCGAUCUGGAGCGAAUCCCAAAAAAGCGGUCUCAGUUCGGAUUGCAGGCUGCAACUCGCCUGCAUGAAGUCGGAAUUGCUAGUAAUCGCGGAUCAGCAUGCCGCGGUGAAUACGUUCCCGGGUCUUGUACACACCGCCCGU